AUUAUGGAAAGGUGGCCAAACUUGGUCUUUUGGAAUCUCCAAAAGGCUUUCACCAUAAAACUCCAGGAAUAGUCUUUCAUGACAGUUUCCUUCCACUUAACAUAACAUUUUCGACAUGUCCCUGCUGUGGAACUUGUCAGUCACUUCUUCCUACCUUUCUGAGUCUGAAUGAUAUUCCACAGCAUGGUCUUCUUGCUCCCUUCAGCAGUUGGGCAAUAGCAAGCAGAAAUACCAAAAUGACACCCAGGGUUUGGAGGCAGAUUUACUUACAUUGACAGGCACUGAUUGGAAUCAUUGCCAAAAUAUCAGGCCUUGAUCUCCGGUGGUCUAAGGCUUAGAUGGGAUAAGCAAGCAGGAAGUACAGAGGCAGAAUAGCCUGUCAAUUGGGGAUUGGUUCUUACAAUAUGCAUCAUAGUGACCAGCUUUGCAUCACAGUGGCCAGCCAUUUCUAGGAGACAGAGGCAACUGGAACUGGAACAGGAACUAUAACCUGGGCAACUAAGAGACUGAGCCUACAGCGCAGAGUGCGCGGAGCCCGGAGUCUUGACGCCCAGGCGAAGCAGGCCCGGGGCGAGCGCGAACCCGCAGGGCAGCGACCCACCGAGUUCCCGCGGGGACGUUCGCGCCCUCGCGCUCCAGUCUUGAACGUUCGGCGGCGUCUUGAACCCGCGGCGCCCCGAGUGCCAGGGCGCGCCCGCUCCGCCCGAGGAGAGAGCUCGCCCCUCCAGGAAGCGCCCGCCUCGCCUCCCGCUUCCCUCCCCGCACCCGCCCUCGGCCGGAGGGAGGAGCCCGAGCCG
RNAcentral lists this long non-coding RNA (797 nucleotides) under Chinchilla lanigera (long-tailed chinchilla). RNAcentral describes it as "lncRNA (ENSCLAG00000025063.1)". Lineage: Eukaryota; Metazoa; Chordata; Mammalia; Rodentia; Chinchillidae. The record is from RNAcentral.